UAGAAAACAGUUGCUUCGCAAGGUAUCUUUACCUGAAAAUACACAAUCGAAUUGAUUGAUCGUUGGUGUUCAGCAGUCAUAAAAGUCUACUUUAUUUGCUUUGAAGAACUACUGUAAUAGAUAUUUUGUCAGACAGCGUAGGCAGCAGCUCUAUAGAGAUAAGUGCUUUCCCUGCCUUAUGCUGAGAUUACUGCAACGUCCUUGAUCCACCACGACCCCUGGCUUCCUGCUUACACAAGCACUUGUCCCGCCGAGAAACGACUAAGAUUACCUAUGCAAGGCACAUGGUGUCAUGGUUCCACCUGUCACCAGAGGGCGGCAGAGACCGUCCUAGAGACAUUUACGACACUCAGCUGUGUCCUAUUUACUCGCUAUGAUUUCCCUGUUAAAAGAGGUGUG
Oncorhynchus gorbuscha (pink salmon) is the source of this 399-nucleotide long non-coding RNA. RefSeq lists it as uncharacterized. The record is from RefSeq and is a predicted model, not a curated record. NCBI's taxonomy places the organism in Eukaryota, Metazoa, Chordata, Actinopteri, Salmoniformes, Salmonidae. The transcript has 3 exons.